Molecule: unclassified non-coding RNA, 274 nt
Filed under: Hevea brasiliensis (rubber tree)
Lineage: Eukaryota; Viridiplantae; Streptophyta; Magnoliopsida; Malpighiales; Euphorbiaceae
Source: RNAcentral
AUGGCAGGCACUGGUUGCAUAUGUAAACAUCGCAUGUUAUUACAUAUUUGGAAUUCCUAUGGGCCUUAUCUUGGGUUAUAUGCUUAACAUGGGUGUGAGGGGCAUUUGGUAUGGAAUGCUCAUGGGCACCGUGGUACAAACAAUUAUCCUGGUUUGGUUGACAUCCCGAACAAACUGGAAUAAAGAGGCAUCAAUUGCUGGGGAAAGGAUUAGAAAAUGGGGAGGAGAAAAUGCUAAGCCUGAUGGAGUAGGGGAAUAAGCUGAUGGUGGAAAG